This is a long non-coding RNA of Aedes albopictus (Asian tiger mosquito), 522 nucleotides long. RefSeq lists it as uncharacterized. The transcript is spliced from 2 exons. The record is from RefSeq and is a predicted model, not a curated record. Lineage: Eukaryota; Metazoa; Arthropoda; Insecta; Diptera; Culicidae.
AUCUUUCCAUCUUUUGAGCGGGAUAUUGAUCAAAUGGUACGAGAUCAUCCCAGUGCUCUUGGAUUAAAUUUUCCAUAACAAUCUUGCGCUCAUCUGAUCAUCUGAUUAGAAAUGCUAUCUUAGUAAACCGGAAAGGCUGUGUCGCAACUGUUCAUGAAAACUUUGACACAUUCUGCGGUAUAAGGCAGACACGUCAGGUAGAGUUUACUAUUCCAAACAUUUUUUUGCCAUGUAGAUAAAUCGCAUGUUUGUAUAGCUAUAUAUGAGCCUUUUACGUUGCGGCUGGGCACACAAAAACCUGACUUCUCAAAUCGGUAUGGCCGGAAAAAUCGCGUCAAACAUUAACAGACGCAAGGGAGAACUUUACUGCCCCCAUUGGCACAACAGUCCUAUGUGAAUAGGAAACCCUGCAGUUUAGAAGAUUGCAAACACUUAUAUUACUAUGUAAUUUGUUUUUAAUAUGAACUAAACAUAGAACGAGACAUUCUGUUUAUAUUGUUAAUAAAACUGCAGCUGAAUAUU